RNAcentral lists this ribosomal RNA (372 nucleotides) under uncultured eukaryote. Its description in RNAcentral is "partial 18S ribosomal RNA". It matches the Rfam family "Eukaryotic small subunit ribosomal RNA", at positions 592 to 976 of the family's 1831-position model. The record is from RNAcentral.
CAAUAGCGUAUAUUAAAGUUGUUGCAGUUAAAAAGCUCGUAGUUGGAUUUGUGGCAGUCCCUGUGGUCCAAUUUUGGUACUAUCGGGGACAGCCAUCCUUGGGUGGAUGCUGUGUGGCAUUAGGUUGUCGUGCAGUGGAUGCCCAUCGUUUACUGUGAAAAAAUUAGAGUGUUCAAAGCAGGCUUACGCCGUUGAAUAUAUUAGCAUGGAAUAAUGAGAUAGGACCUUGGUACUAUUUUGUUGGUUUGCGCACCGAGGUAAUGAUUAAUAGGGACAGUUGUGGGUAUUCGUAUUCCAUUGUCAGAGGUGAAAUUCUUGGAUUUCUGGAAGACGAACGAAUGCGAAAGCAUUUACCAAGGAUGUUUUCAUUAA